Lactuca sativa (garden lettuce) is the source of this 557-nucleotide non-coding RNA. The record is from RefSeq and is a predicted model, not a curated record. Lineage: Eukaryota; Viridiplantae; Streptophyta; Magnoliopsida; Asterales; Asteraceae.
UUGAUAUCCCGCCAUUUGUCCUGGUAUACGAUUUCAAAGCUACUCUCUGCGACCACUACUAGUGAAGAUUAGAAAUCACCAAUCGAAGACCCUAAUACUUGAAAGAACGUGAAUCGAAACUUUAUUGGGGCUAUUUUCACUAGAGCCAGAGAUGUCUUAAUUUCUAGAAGUGAUGUUAUCAAGGUUUACAAAGAAAAGAUUCUAAAUAGCCCCCAUGUGUGUGGAAUUGCUGAUGCUAUUUAUAAUGACAUGAUGAGAAGUGCUUUGAAAGUGAUAUUGUGAUGUUGAAGAAUCAAGAUAAGUAAAAUAAGGGUGUCUAAGGGAAAUUAACUCAUAUUCAUUAGAGAAUUGUUUGGUAUCAUGGAAAAAGUACUUGCAUCAUUUCUUAUGUUUAAGGUAACUAUUUAUGAAUUUUGUGUAGUAUGUUAUUGGAAAUAUUUAGGUGAAACUUGAAAUAGUGAUUUAUACUUUGGACUUUGAUUUAGAGUAUGCUAACUUAUUAGUGAAAUAAUUGUUGUAUCUCAUGACUUUCAGGACCAACACCUCCAUCUUUUCAA